RNAcentral lists this ribosomal RNA (222 nucleotides) under uncultured Glomeromycotina. Its description in RNAcentral is "partial 18S ribosomal RNA". The stretch from base 42 to 222 matches the Rfam family "Eukaryotic small subunit ribosomal RNA", at positions 689 to 869 of the family's 1831-position model. Lineage: Eukaryota; Fungi; Glomeromycota. The record is from RNAcentral.
GGAUCAAUUGGUCGGUCGUGCCUCGGUACGUACUGGUCAAAUUGAUUCCUACCUUCUGACGAACCACGAUGUCAUUAAUUUGGUGUCGCGGGGAAUCAGGACUGUUACUUUGAAAAAAUUUUAGAGUGUUUAAAGCAGGCUCGCGCUUGAAUACAUUAGCAUGGAAUAAUGAAAUAGGAUGUUUGAUUCUACUUUGUUGGUUUCUAGGAUCGACGUAAUGAU